This 532-nucleotide long non-coding RNA is filed under the name Capsicum annuum. Its description in RNAcentral is "long non-coding RNA (CANN_LNC012806)". The record is from RNAcentral. Lineage: Eukaryota; Viridiplantae; Streptophyta; Magnoliopsida; Solanales; Solanaceae.
UUUUCUGCAUUAUCUGCAACUGUUGGACUUUCGGUCCUUGAAAAUUCUUGUCCAUGCUUGAAUUGCUGCAACUGCCGUUUCAAUGGCUUUAGGCCCAUUUGCUUAUUCCUCUAUGGCUACUGCACCUGUACAUCUGCUUUGGGAUUUCACGACCCAUUGAAGGGUGUGGCAUUUUUGACCUGUAAAUCAGUCCAUCUGGGAUUCGCAAUGGGGCCGAGGCUUAGACCUAACGAAAUCCAGUAGGAGAAGAUCGAGUAGUUCACAUCGAGUAGUUCACAUGAAAAACAAAAGGUAAUAGAAAAUUAGCAACUAUCUGACACUAAUGAAUCAAAUAAAUGAGAUAAUGAAAGGAAGCUUUGUCAAGGUAUUUAGCCACUGCCAGGUAAAAGGAAACUAAAACAAAACAUUUUUUCAAGUAUUAAAGAAUGGCACUAACAGAUUUUAAUGAGCACAGGGCAUGUCUAAACGGAUGAAGACUCCAUAGCGAAUUAAUCUAGUAUCUGAUGCAAUAUUGAGAUUUCCCCGAUUAAAA